CCAGACCGCCAGCUAAGGUCCCAAAGUCAUGGUUAAGUGGGAAACGAUGUGGGAAGGCCCAGACAGCCAGGAUGUUGGCUUAGAAGCAGCCAUCAUUUAAAGAAAGCGUAAUAGCUCACUGGUCGAGUCGGCCUGCGCGGAAGAUGUAACGGGGCUAAACCAUGCACCGAAGCUGCGGCAGCGACACUGUGUGUUGUUGGGUAGGGGAGCGUUCUGUAAGCCUGUGAAGGUGUGUCGUGAGGC
This 243-nucleotide ribosomal RNA is filed under the name Salmonella enterica subsp. enterica serovar Enteritidis. RNAcentral's name for it is "partial 23S ribosomal RNA". It matches the Rfam family "Bacterial large subunit ribosomal RNA", at positions 1027 to 1269 of the family's 2925-position model. The record is from RNAcentral. Lineage: Bacteria; Pseudomonadati; Pseudomonadota; Gammaproteobacteria; Enterobacterales; Enterobacteriaceae.